RNAcentral lists this ribosomal RNA (253 nucleotides) under uncultured bacterium. RNAcentral describes it as "partial 16S ribosomal RNA". It matches the Rfam family "Bacterial small subunit ribosomal RNA", at positions 524 to 776 of the family's 1533-position model. The record is from RNAcentral.
UACGAAGGUGGCGAGCGUUACUCGGAAUUACUAGGCGUAAAGGGCAGGUAGGUGGUUUGGUAAGUCUGUUGUGAAAGCUCUUGGCUUAACCGAGAGAGGUCAAUGGAUACUGCCAGGCUUGAGUAUGGGAGAGGGUACUGGAAUUCCCGGUGUAGCGGUGAAAUGCGCAGAGAUCGGGAGGAACACCGAUGGCGAAAGCAGGUACCUGGACCAUUACUGACACUCAGCUGCGAAAGCUAGGGGAGCAAACAGG